GUAGGGAAUAUUGGGCAAUGGAGGCAACUCUGACCCAGCCAUGCCGCGUGCAGGAUGACGGCCCUCUGGGUUGUAAACUGCUUUUAUACGGGAAGAAAAAAUACUACGUGUAGUAUACUGACGGUACCGUAAGAAUAAGGAUCGGCUAACUCCGUGCCAGCAGCCGCGGUAAUACGGAGGAUCCAAGCGUUGUCCGGAUUUAUUGGGUGUAAAGGGUGCGUAGGCGGAUCUUUAAGUCAGUGGUGAAAGCCUGCAGCUUAACUGUAGAAUUGCCAUUGAAACUGAAGAUCUUGAAUGUGGUUAAAGUAGGCGGAAUGUAUCAUGUAGCGGUGAAAUGCUUAGAUAUGAUACAGAACACCGAUAGCGAAGGCAGCUUGCUGAACCAUUAUUGACGCUGAGGCACGAAAGCGUGGGGAGCGAACAGGAUUAGAAACCCGAGUAGUCC
This 445-nucleotide ribosomal RNA is filed under the name uncultured bacterium. RNAcentral describes it as "partial 16S ribosomal RNA". It matches the Rfam family "Bacterial small subunit ribosomal RNA", at positions 354 to 796 of the family's 1533-position model. The record is from RNAcentral.